GUGGCGGACGGGUGAGUAACGCGUGGGUAACCUGCCCUGUACAGGGGGACAACAGCCGGAAACGGCUGCUAAUACCGCAUAAGCCCGCGGCGCCGCAUGGCGCUGCGGGGAAAAACUCCGGUGGUACAGGAUGGGCCCGCGUCUGAUUAGCUAGUUGGCGGGGUAACGGGCCCCACCAAGGCAGCGAUCAGUAGCCGGCUUGAGAGAGUGGACGGCCACAUUGGGACUGAGACACGGCCCAGACUCCUACGGAAGGCAGCAG
This 262-nucleotide ribosomal RNA is filed under the name uncultured bacterium. Its description in RNAcentral is "partial 16S ribosomal RNA". It matches the Rfam family "Bacterial small subunit ribosomal RNA", at positions 95 to 354 of the family's 1533-position model. The record is from RNAcentral.